This 253-nucleotide ribosomal RNA is filed under the name uncultured bacterium. Its description in RNAcentral is "partial 16S ribosomal RNA". It matches the Rfam family "Bacterial small subunit ribosomal RNA", at positions 524 to 776 of the family's 1533-position model. The record is from RNAcentral.
UACGGGGGGUGCAAGCGUUGUUCGGGAUUACUGGGCGUAAAGGGCGCGUAGGCGGAUGGACAAGUCACGUGUGAAAGCCCACGGCUCAACCGUGGAAUUGGGGUUGAUACUGUCUGACUUGAGUCCGGAAGAGUAGGGUGGAAUUGCCAGUGUAGCGGUGAAAUGCGUAGAUAUUGGGAGGAACACCGGUGGCGAAGGCGGCUCACUGGACCGGGACUGACGCUGAGUCGCCAAAGCUUGGGGAGCAAACGGG